UAGGGAAUCUUCGGCAAUGGGGGCAACCCUGACCGAGCAACGCCGCGUGAGUGAAGAAGGUUUUCGGAUCGUAAAGCUCUGUUGUAAGAGAAGAACGUGUGUGAGAGUGGAAAGUUCACACAGUGACGGUAACUUACCAGAAAGGAACGGCUAACUACGUGCUAG
This 165-nucleotide ribosomal RNA is filed under the name uncultured bacterium. Its description in RNAcentral is "partial 16S rRNA". It matches the Rfam family "Bacterial small subunit ribosomal RNA", at positions 355 to 511 of the family's 1533-position model. The record is from RNAcentral.